AUCCCCCCUCCCUCGCCAUCUCCUGAUUUAUUUGGAAAUAAAGGGUGCCUUUCUUUGCAGGAAAACAGGUGGUGCAUGGUUGUUGUCAUCUCGUGUUGUGAGAAGUUGGGGUAAAUUCUCCAAAAAGGGGAACCCCCCUUCCUUUUUGCCCCACCAUUUGGUUGGGCACUUUAGGGAGACUCCGGGGGACAAACCGGGGGAAGGUGGGGGGGACGUCAAAUCCUCAUGCCCCUUAUGUCCAGGGCUACCCCCGUCUUACAAUGGUCGGUACAAAGGGUCGCCAACCCCCGAGGGGGAGCCAAUCCCACAAAACCGAUCGUAGUCCGGAUUGCAGUCUGCAACUCGAGUGCAUGAAGUCGGAAUCGCUAGUAAUCGCGAUCAGCAUGCGUUAGCUGGUUUC
RNAcentral lists this ribosomal RNA (400 nucleotides) under uncultured Nitrobacter sp. RNAcentral describes it as "partial 16S ribosomal RNA". It matches the Rfam family "Bacterial small subunit ribosomal RNA", at positions 966 to 1363 of the family's 1533-position model. The record is from RNAcentral. Lineage: Bacteria; Pseudomonadati; Pseudomonadota; Alphaproteobacteria; Hyphomicrobiales; Nitrobacteraceae.